AAGUCGUAACAAGGUCUCCGUAGGUGAACCUGCGGGGGGAUCAUUACAAGUGACCCCCGGCUCCGGCCGGGGAUGUUCAUAACCCUUUGUUGUCCGACUCUGUUGCCUCCGGGGCGACCCUGCCUUUUCACGGGCGGGGGCCCCGGGUGGACACAUCAAAACUCUUGCGUAACUUUGCAGUCUGAGUAAAUUUAAUUAAUAAAUUAAAA
RNAcentral lists this unclassified non-coding RNA (209 nucleotides) under plant metagenome. Its description in RNAcentral is "partial contains small subunit ribosomal RNA and internal transcribed spacer 1". The stretch from base 1 to 46 matches the Rfam family "Eukaryotic small subunit ribosomal RNA", at positions 1786 to 1831 of the family's 1831-position model. The record is from RNAcentral.